GCAGUCGACGGUAACAUGGAUUGCUUGCAAUCUGAUGACGAGUGGCGCACGGGUGCGUAACGCGUAUAGAACCUACCCUUUACUGGGGGAUAGCCCGGAGAAAUUCGGAUUAAUACCCCAUAGUACUAUUUAGAGGCAUCUUUAGAUGGUUAAAGUUUUUACGGUAAAGGAUGGCUAUGCGUCCUAUUAGUUCGUAGGUGAGGUAACGGCUCACCUAGACUUCGAUAGGUAGGGGCCCUGAGAGGGGGAUCCCCCACACUGGUACUGAGACACGGACCAGACUCCUACGGGAGGCAGCAGUGAGGAAUAUUGGACAAUGGUCGGGAGACUGAUCCAGCCAUGCCGCGUGCAGGAAGACUGCCCUAUGGGUUGUAAACUGCUUUUUUACGGGAAGAAUAAUACCCACGUGUGGGUAGAUGACGGUACCGUAGGAAUAAGGACCGGCUAACUCCGUGCCAGCAGCCGCGGUAAUACGGAGGGUCCGAGCGUUAUCCGGAAUUAUUGGGUUUAAAGGGUCCGCAGGCGGGCCAGUAAGUCAGGGGUGAAAGUUUGCGGCUUAACCGUAAAAUUGCCUUUGAUACUGCUGGUCUUGAGUUGCGGUGAAGUGGCCGGAAUAUGUGGUGUAGCGGUGAAAUGCAUAGAUAUCACAUAGAACACCGAUUGCGAAGGCAGGUCACUAACCGCCGACUGACGCUGAUGGACGAAAGCGUGGGGAGCGAACGGGAUUAGAUACCCUGGUA
This 740-nucleotide ribosomal RNA is filed under the name uncultured bacterium. RNAcentral's name for it is "bacterial SSU rRNA". It matches the Rfam family "Bacterial small subunit ribosomal RNA", at positions 57 to 792 of the family's 1533-position model. The record is from RNAcentral.